Molecule: unclassified non-coding RNA, 463 nt
Filed under: Hevea brasiliensis (rubber tree)
Lineage: Eukaryota; Viridiplantae; Streptophyta; Magnoliopsida; Malpighiales; Euphorbiaceae
Source: RNAcentral
UAUUGUAUUCCUGCAAUAUAUCAAUUAUGCCCAUGUAAAGGACAACAUCAUAUACCUCAAAAAGUUCAACCUCCAUUGAAUCAACCUCCUCAAGUUUGCGACUGGCUUGAGCGGGCAUGUUUACUCCUAAUUGAACUCGUAACCUUCCAGUGCCAGGCAAUAAGAGAUCAACUUCCUUUGCACCAAGAGAAUAUGCUCUCAAUGUAUUUCCCCUUAUGUGAGGACCAGGUGCAGUGUCGACAAAGCUGGGUUCAUGGGUAACAAGGAGCAAGCCUGUUGGUGGAAUCAAGGGCUCCCCUUGUAAACUUACACCAUCACUAGAAGGUGAACUCUCAUAAUUGGCUAUAGUACCAGAAGAUUCUAAUACUGCCUUCAAUUGCUCAGGUGCUCUAAAAUGUAAACCCAAGAGAAGGCUAUAAUCAAUGAUUUGUUGAGAUUGCAAGAACCUACAGUCUUCAGAAAG